RNAcentral lists this ribosomal RNA (222 nucleotides) under uncultured Streptococcus sp. RNAcentral describes it as "partial 16S ribosomal RNA". It matches the Rfam family "Bacterial small subunit ribosomal RNA", at positions 560 to 782 of the family's 1533-position model. Lineage: Bacteria; Bacillati; Bacillota; Bacilli; Lactobacillales; Streptococcaceae. The record is from RNAcentral.
GUAAAGCGAGCCCAGGCGGUUUGAUAAGUCUGAAGUUAAAGGCUGUGGCUCAACCAUAGUUCGCUUUGGAAACUGUCAAACUUGAGUGCAGAAGGGGAGAGUGGAAUUCCAUGUGUAGCGGUGAAAUGCGUAGAUAUAUGGAGGAACACCGGUGGCGAAAGCGGCUCUCUGGUCUGUAACUGACGCUGAGGCUCGAAAGCGUGGGGAGCGAACAGGAUUAGA